UACGUAGGGUGCAGGCGUUAAUCGGAAUUACUGGGCGUAAAGCGUGCGCAGGCGGUUUGCUAAGACAGGUGUGAAAUCCCCAGGCUUAACCUGGGAACUGCAUCCGAUACUGGAUGGCUUGAAUCCGGGAGAGGGAUGCAGAAUUCCAGGUGUAGCGGUGAAAUGCGUAGAUAUCUGGAGGAAUACCGGUGGCGAAGGCGGCAUCCUGGACCGGCAUUGACGCUGAUGAGCGAAAGCUAGGGGAGCAAACGGG
RNAcentral lists this ribosomal RNA (253 nucleotides) under uncultured bacterium. RNAcentral describes it as "partial 16S ribosomal RNA". It matches the Rfam family "Bacterial small subunit ribosomal RNA", at positions 524 to 776 of the family's 1533-position model. The record is from RNAcentral.